Non-coding RNA from Penaeus vannamei (Pacific white shrimp), 1081 nucleotides. The record is from RefSeq and is a predicted model, not a curated record. NCBI's taxonomy places the organism in Eukaryota, Metazoa, Arthropoda, Malacostraca, Decapoda, Penaeidae.
GGUUUGCGCGGGAAAGUCAGCCGGAUUCAAGAUGGCUUCCCUGGCUGGUCUUCCCCUGACUUUGGACCAACCUUUCGUCUACGAGAACGGCGAGAAAUGCGGGGCAGACACUGGAUGCCUGACCUACACCUCGAUCGGCGAGCGCGCGGGCGAGGAUGCCCUGGGCGCCUUCUUCGAGGUCGUGGAGUGGACGCGGACGCAGGCGGGGACCUCCGUCGUCUUCGCCAGCAGGAGCUACGGCGACGGCACGCAGGUCUUCAAGCAGAGUUCCCGAUGGACUCAAAGGCACCAGCACGGGCGACAAGGGCCUCGUCAGCACCGCCUUCCCCCGCGUGGCCUUCCCCUCCGACCCCGCCCUCCGCUUCGUGACUCCUGGCGGCUACAUGGUCGGCUGGACGCUGUUGUCCCACGGCAGCACGCAGUCGGACCUGGCUCGAUUCCGCGACGGCGAGGACGGCGGGGUGGUCGUGCUGUUCCGCCCGACGGAGAACAACCUGACGGAGAGCGUGGUCAUGUCGGCCCUCUCGAACGCCAUGGCCGCGAGCGUGAGUCUGGACCCUGGGGCUUCGAGGCUGAACUGGGGGGUGCAGGGGCUCGCCGAGGAACUACCCCGGGCUUCUCCCUCGAGGUCGUCCUCCACCCGCACUCCCGGUCCGUCGUCAGGAAUAUCUGUCUUGGGGAGAGACGCUGAGGAAAUACCAUUCCACCGCGAAGAUACCAGACCCGACGGCGGAGUACCUGAGCUACUACACCGACAACGGCGCGUACCACUACUACAACCCUCUGCCCUUCAGUAACUUCCGUGACGUGGUGCUGGAUCUGUACCAUUACGCGGUGCAGAACGAGGUCCCCAUCAGGUACCUCCAGCUGGACUCCUGGUGGUACCACAAGGGAGAGGGCGGCGGCGUCAAGAACUGGACAGCGAUACCAUACAUCAUCCCAGACGGUAUUGGUAACCUUUAUGAAACGACCGGAUGGCCAAUUAUCGCUCAUAACAGGUACUUCAGCAGCGAUACAGACUACGCGAGACAAAAUGGAGGACCCUACGCCUUCACCAUCGACAACGCCACCUCGAAGGCCU